Molecule: ribosomal RNA, 484 nt
Filed under: uncultured bacterium
Lineage: Bacteria
Description: partial 16S ribosomal RNA
Rfam family: Bacterial small subunit ribosomal RNA
Source: RNAcentral
AUUGAACGCUGGCGGAAUGCUUUACACAUGCAAGUCGAGCGGCAGCGCGGCCUUCGGGCUGGCGGCGAGCGGCGAACGGGUGAGUAAUGCAUCGGAACAUGCCCAGUCGUGGGGGAUAACACUUCGAAAGAAGUGCUAAUACCGCAUACGUCCUGAGGGGGAAAGCGGGGGAUCGCAAGACCUCUCGCGAUUGGAGUGGCCGAUGUCAGAUUAGCUAGUUGGUGGGGUAAAGGCCUACCAAGGCGACGAUCUGUAGCUGGUCUGAGAGGAUGAUCAGCCACACGGGGGCUUAGACACGGCCAAGACUCCUAAGGGAGGCAGCAGUGGGGAAUUGUGGACAAUGGGGGCAAACCUGAUACAGCCAUUCCGCGUGAGUGAAGAAGGCCUUCGGGUUGUAAAGCUCUUUCGGCAGGAACGAAACGGUGGGGUCUAACAUAGUCCGCUAAUGACGGUACCUGAAGAAGAAGCACCGGCUAACUACGUG